GUGCCAGCAGCCGCGGUAAUACGUAGGGUCCGAGCGUUGUCCGGAAUUACUGGGCGUAAAGAGCUCGUAGGUGGUUUGUCGCGUUGUUCGUGAAAACUCACAGCUUAACUGUGGGCGUGCGGGCGAUACGGGCAGACUAGAGUACUGCAGGGGAGACUGGAAUUCCUGGUGUAGCGGUGGAAUGCGCAGAUAUCAGGAGGAACACCGGUGGCGAAGGCGGGUCUCUGGGCAGUAACUGACGCUGAGGAGCGAAAGCGUGGGGAGCGAACAGGAUGAGAUACCCUGGUAGUCGCACGCCGGUAAANCGGUGGGUAGCUAGGUGUGGGUUUCGUUCCUUGGGAUCCGUGCCGUAGCUAACGCAUUAAGUACCCCGCCUGGGGAGUACGGCCGCAAGGCUAAAACUCAAAGGAAUUGANGGGGGCCCGCACAAGCGGCGGAGCAUGUGGAUUAAUUCGAUGCAACGCGAAGAACCUUACCUGGGUUUGACAUGCACAGGACGACUGCAGAGAUGUGUUCCCUUGUGGCUGUGU
RNAcentral lists this ribosomal RNA (530 nucleotides) under uncultured organism. RNAcentral's name for it is "SSU rRNA". It matches the Rfam family "Bacterial small subunit ribosomal RNA", at positions 505 to 1032 of the family's 1533-position model. The record is from RNAcentral.